RNAcentral lists this ribosomal RNA (431 nucleotides) under uncultured bacterium. RNAcentral's name for it is "bacterial SSU rRNA". It matches the Rfam family "Bacterial small subunit ribosomal RNA", at positions 355 to 776 of the family's 1533-position model. The record is from RNAcentral.
UGGGGAAUCUUGGACAAUGGGGGCAACCCUGAUCCAGCCAUGCCGCGUGAGUGAUGAAGGCCUUCGGGUCGUAAACUUCUGUCAGAUGGGAAGAAGGUUUGUAGGUUAAGAGCUAGUGAACUUGACGGUACCAUCAGAGGAAGUCCCGGCUAACUCCGUGCCAGCAGCCGCGGUAAUACGGAGGGGACAAGCGUUAUUCGGAUUUAUUGGGCGUAAAGGGCGCGUAGGCGGCCCGAUAAGUCCAAGGUGAAAGCCCUCGGCUCAACCCGAGGAACUGCCUUGGAUACUGUCGGGCUCGAGGCUGGAAGAGGGUGAUGGAAUUGCCCGGUGUAGCGGUGAAAUGCGUAGAUAUCGGGAGGAACACCGGUGGCGAAGGCGGUCACCUGGGCCAGUACUGACGCUGAGGCGCGAAAGCGUGGGGAGCAAACAGG